This 492-nucleotide ribosomal RNA is filed under the name uncultured bacterium. RNAcentral's name for it is "partial 16S ribosomal RNA". It matches the Rfam family "Bacterial small subunit ribosomal RNA", at positions 29 to 507 of the family's 1533-position model. The record is from RNAcentral.
AGUGAACGCUGGCGGUAGGCCUAACACAUGCAAGUCGAACGGCAGCACAGUAAGAGCUUGCUCUUACGGGUGGCGAGUGGCGGACGGGUGAGGAAUACAUCGGAAUCUACUUUUUCGUGGGGGAUAACGUAGGGAAACUUACGCUAAUACCGCAUCCGACCUACGGUUGAAAGCAGGGGAUCUUCGGACCUUGCGCGAUUGAAUGAGCCGAUGUCGGAUUAGCUAGUUGGCGGGGUAAAGGCCCACCAAGGCGACGAUCCGUAGCUGGUCUGAGAGGAUGAUCAGCCACACUGGAACUGAGACACGGUCCAGACUCCUAAGGGAGGCAGCAGUGGGGAAUAUUGGACAAUGGGCGCAAGCCUGAUCCAGCCAUACCGCGUGGGUGAAGAAGGCCUUCGGGUUGUAAAGCCCUUUUGUUGGGAAAGAAAAGCAGCAGGUUAAUACCCCGCUGUUCUGACGGUAACCAAAGAAUAAGCACCGGCUAACUUCGUG